RNAcentral lists this ribosomal RNA (429 nucleotides) under Gemmatimonadota bacterium. RNAcentral describes it as "Gemmatimonadetes bacterium partial 16S ribosomal RNA". It matches the Rfam family "Bacterial small subunit ribosomal RNA", at positions 355 to 776 of the family's 1533-position model. Lineage: Bacteria; Pseudomonadati; Gemmatimonadota. The record is from RNAcentral.
UAGGGAAUCUUCGGCAAUGGACGAAAGUCUGACCGAGCAACGCCGCGUGAGUGAAGAAGGUUUUCGGAUCGUAAAACUCUGUUGUUAGAGAAGAACAAGGACGUUAGUAACUGAACGUCCCCUGACGGUAUCUAACCAGAAAGCCACGGCUAACUACGUGCCAGCAGCCGCGGUAAUACGUAGGUGGCAAGCGUUGUCCGGAUUUAUUGGGCGUAAAGCGAGCGCAGGCGGUUUCUUAAGUCUGAUGUGAAAGCCCCCGGCUCAACCGGGGAGGGUCAUUGGAAACUGGGAGACUUGAGUGCAGAAGAGGAGAGUGGAAUUCCGUGUGUAGCGGUGAAAUGCGUAGAUAUAUGGAGGAACACCAGUGGCGAAGGCGGCUCUCUGGUCUGUAACUGACGCUGAGGCUCGAAAGCGUGGGGAGCAAACAGG